CCGCGGGAUUAGAGUUUGAUCAUGGCUCAGAUUGAACGCUGGCGGCAGGCCUAACACAUGCAAGUCGAGCGGUAACACAAGGGAGCUUGCUCCUGAGGUGACGAGCGGCGGACGGGUGAGUAAUGCCUAGGUAUCUGCCCAGUCGAGGGGGAUAACAGUUGGAAACGACUGCUAAUACCGCAUACGCCCUACGGGGGAAAGGAGGGGACCUUCGGGCCUUCCGCGAUUGGAUGAACCUAGGUGGGAUUAGCUAGUUGGUGAGGUAAUGGCUCACCAAGGCGACGAUCCCUAGCUGGUCUGAGAGGAUGAUCAGCCACACUGGAACUGAGACACGGUCCAGACUCCUACGGGAGGCAGCAGUGGGGAAUAUUGCACAAUGGGCGAAAGCCUGAUGCAGCCAUGCCGCGUGUAUGAAGAAGGCCUUCGGGUUGUAAAGUACUUUCAGUUGUGAGGAAGGGUGUGUAGUUAAUAGCUGCGCAUCUUGACGUUAGCAACAGAAGAAGCACCGGCUAACUCCGUGCCAGCAGCCGCGGUAAUACGGAGGGUGCGAGCGUUAAUCGGAAUUACUGGGCGUAAAGCGCAUGCAGGUGGUUCAUUAAGUCAGAUGUGAAAGCCCGGGGCUCAACCUCGGAACUGCAUUUGAAACUGGUGAACUAGAGUGCUGUAGAGGGGGGUAGAAUUUCC
This 684-nucleotide ribosomal RNA is filed under the name uncultured Vibrionaceae bacterium. RNAcentral's name for it is "bacterial SSU rRNA". It matches the Rfam family "Bacterial small subunit ribosomal RNA", at positions 1 to 671 of the family's 1533-position model. Lineage: Bacteria; Pseudomonadati; Pseudomonadota; Gammaproteobacteria; Vibrionales; Vibrionaceae. The record is from RNAcentral.